AUGACUUCCUUUUUGCUUUCCAGAAAACUCUGGGACAAACAUGCAAGACUUGGACUGAAAGGAGAAAUUUUCUCCGCUGACAGGUACCAUGAAAGAACCAACUACACCAAAGGAAACUUUCAACGCAGCCAUCAGCAGAAUAGAGAGGAUGUUUUUAAAGCCAUGAACAGAGGUGUGGAUCCGAUCAUCGUUGACAACACAAACAUUUCUCUUUGGGAGAUGUGGCCCUAUAUCCACAUGGUGAGGACGUGUGUGUACGUGUGUGUGUGUGUGUGUGUGUGUGUGUGUGUGUGUGUGUGUGUGUGUGUGCGUGCGUGCGUGCGUGCGUGUGUGUGUGUGUGUGUGUGUGUGUGUGUGUGUGUGUGUGUACGUGUGUGUGUGUGUGUGUGUGUGUGUGUGUGCGUGCGUGCGUGCGUGUGUGUGUGUGUGUGUGUGUGUGUGCGUGCGUGCGUGCGUGCGUGUGUGUGUGUCUGUUUGAAAUGCGUAUGAUUUCUAGUUUAGUUAGUCCCAGCUACCAGGCAUUGCAGAGACAUUUCAAUGUUAUUUUUGUAACGUUCCACUUAUUUGCUAGUCAUUGUCACAUCCUUUGUACUUGUGAACCUAAACGGCAUCUGACUAACUACAAGACUGGUUGAAGCUGGUUUCCAGAUGACUUCCUACUAGGUGGUGCUAGCGGCAGAGUCAGAUAGUUUCCUCUUGGUUAGACAUGUUGUUGAUAAAUCUGACAUUUUAUUCUACUUUUUACAAUGUUAUUAAUAUACCAAUUGGUCUUCUGACAGACAGACGGACAGAUUAAACAGACUCAUGUCAUAAUAAAAUAUUAUUUCUCUCAGGGGAUUGGACAGAAGAACUAUUACAUCAGAAUGAUGGAACUGCCUAAAAUCUCCAUCAACAAGCUGUACAGGUCAGAAACAACCUCUUCCUUUUAACAGUCUACAUUCUCACAGUGUACACACAGUACAUGUGCAUUGGGGUAAGAUUGUAUACUUGUUUACCAGUUUUACAGCCGUCAAUAGAUUGUUAUUACUUAUCUAUAAGUUAUACAUUGGUUGUCAAUUCAAUGAUUACAAAAAAAAACUGUGUUAUCUCCCUAUAGACGGUGUCGUGGUAAAAUCCCCAAACGUAAGUUCAGGUCCUUUGAGGUUCGCUGGAAAAAAGCUGACAGCAUCUGGCAUGUACUUAACGACGGCUACUCCAAAAAACGCUGGAAGAGAAGCAAAGAGGAAUGGAACGUCCAGUGAUGAAGACAUGCUGGUCUUCUCCCCACCCCAAAGUCUCCAAAAUACGGAACAAAUUCACCGGGGUGGCAGGGUAGCCUAGUGGUUAGAGCGUUGGACUAGUAACCGGAAGGUUGCAAGUUCAAACCCCCGAGCUUAACAGGCAGUUAACCCACUGUUCCUAGGCCGUCAUUGAAAAUAAGAAUGUGUUCUUAACUGACUUGCCUAGUUAAAUAAAGGUAAAAUAAAAAAAGAAAACGUACAGUAUUAUUAUAGAGCCCUUAUUGCAUGGAACUUCCUUCCAUCUCAUAUUGCUCAAAUAAACAGCAAACCUGGUUUCAAAAAACAGUUAAAGCAACACUUCUCGGCACAACGCCGAGAGGUAUUUGACCUAGAUAGUUUGUGUGUAUGCAUUGAUAUGUAGGCCACGUGUGCCUUUAAAAAAAAUGUCUGUCCUUGAGCUGUUCUUGUCUAAUGAUGUUCUGUAUUAUGUAAUUCUGUAUUAUGUCAUUCUAUAUGAUGUCAUUCUGUAUGAUGUCAUUCUGUAUUAUGUCAUUCUGUAUUAUGUCAUUCUAU
Molecule: long non-coding RNA, 1793 nt
Organism: Oncorhynchus mykiss (rainbow trout)
Lineage: Eukaryota; Metazoa; Chordata; Actinopteri; Salmoniformes; Salmonidae
Source: Ensembl